RNAcentral lists this ribosomal RNA (1439 nucleotides) under uncultured bacterium. Its description in RNAcentral is "bacterial SSU rRNA". It matches the Rfam family "Bacterial small subunit ribosomal RNA". The record is from RNAcentral.
AGAGUUUGAUCAUGGCUCAGAACGUACGCUGGCGGCACGCCUAACACAUGCAAGUCGAACGCAGUAGCAAUACUGAGUGGCAAACGGGUGAGUAUAAUGUGGGAAUCUGCCUUUUGGUUUGGAAUAACACGGGGAAACCUGUGCUAAUACUGGAUAAGUCUUUACGGAGAAAGCUUUAUGCACCAUUGGAUGAGCCCGCACUUGAUUAGUUUGUUGGUGGGGUAAUGGCCUACCAAGACUUUGAUCAAUAGCUGAUUUGAGAGGAUGAUCAGCCACAUUGGGACUGAGACACGGCCCAAACUCCUACGGGAGGCAGCAGUGGGGAAUCUUGCACAAUGGAGGAAACUCUGAUGCAGCGAUGCCGCGUGAGUGAAGAAGGCCCUUGGGUUGUAAAGCUCUUUCGUCGGGGAAGAAAAUGACUGUACCCGAAUAAGAAGGUCCGGCUAACUUCGUGCCAGCAGCCGCGGUAAUACGAAGGGACCUAGCGUAGUUCGGAAUUACUGGGCUUAAAGAGUUCGUAGGUGGUUGAAAAAGUUGGUGGUGAAAUCCCAGAGCUUAACUCUGGAACUGCCAUCAAAACUUUUCAGCUAGAGUUUGAUAGAGGAAAGCAGAAUUUCUAGUGUAGAGGUGAAAUUCGUAGAUAUUAGAAAGAAUACCAAUUGCGAAGGCAGCUUUCUGGAUCAUUACUGACACUGAGGAACGAAAGCAUGGGUAGCGAAGAGGAUUAGAUACCCUCGUAGUCCAUGCUGUAAACGAUGUGUGUUAGACGUUGGAAAUUUAUUUUCAGUGUCGCAGCGAAAGCGAUAAACACACCGCCUGGGGAGUACGACCGCAAGGUUAAAACUCAAAUGAAUUGACGGGGACCCGCACAAGUAGUGGAGCAUGUGGUUUAAUUCGAAGAUACGCGCAGAACCUUACCAACACUUGACAUGUUCGUCGCGACUUUAAGAGAUUAAAGUUUUCGGUUCGGCCGGACGAAACACAGGUGCUGCAUGGCUGUCGUCAGCUCGUGUCGUGAGAUGUUGGGUUAAGUCCCGCAACGAGCGCAACCCUCACUUUUAGUUGCCAUCAUUUAGUUGGGCACUCUGAAAGAACUGCCAGUGAUAAGCUGGAGGAAGGUGGGGAUGACGUCAAGUCCUCAUGGCCCUUACGUGUUGGGCUACACACGUGCUACAAUGGUAUCUACAACAGGAAGCGAAACAGCGAUGUUGAGCAAAUCCUUAAAAGAUACCUCAGUUCGGAUUGCACUCUGCAACUCGACUCCAUGAAGUUGGAAUCGCUAGUAAUCGUGAAUCAGAAUGUCACGGUGAAUACGUUCCCGGGCCUUGUACACACCGCCCGUCACAUCAUGGGAGUGGGUUCUACCUUAAGGCAAGGUUUAAUACCCUUGACCACGGUAUAGUCAGCGACUGGGGUGAAGUCGUAACAAGGUAACCGUA